Molecule: small nucleolar RNA, 124 nt
Organism: Suncus etruscus (white-toothed pygmy shrew)
Lineage: Eukaryota; Metazoa; Chordata; Mammalia; Eulipotyphla; Soricidae
Product: small nucleolar RNA SNORA71
Exons: 1
Source: RefSeq, a predicted model, not a curated record
CCCUGUAUUCGAAAGUGAUUGUGGGUUGCCUGAGCUCUGGUCAUUGAUAGUGCAGGGAGAGGAAAGCCUUUCCCCAUGUUUGGGGGUCUAUCCUGUCCCUUCCAAACCCUGGUGCUUUCAUGCA